CUUUGCAUGGAAAAACAUCAACAUGCAACCAAAUGCUAAAUUGAAAGAAAGAGAAAGAAACUUGAACUCUCAAAUCAAUCCUGGAAAUGCAGCACAAUAGCUCCUCUUUCAGUCCUUUACAGAUAGUACAUCUAAAACGCAC
Long non-coding RNA from Etheostoma cragini (Arkansas darter), 142 nucleotides. RefSeq lists it as uncharacterized. NCBI's taxonomy places the organism in Eukaryota, Metazoa, Chordata, Actinopteri, Perciformes, Percidae. The record is from RefSeq and is a predicted model, not a curated record. The transcript has 3 exons.